Molecule: ribosomal RNA, 253 nt
Filed under: uncultured bacterium
Lineage: Bacteria
Description: partial 16S ribosomal RNA
Rfam family: Bacterial small subunit ribosomal RNA
Source: RNAcentral
GACAGAGGGUGCAAGCGUUAAUCGGAAUUAUUGGGCGUAAAGCGCACGUAGGCGGAUUAGUAAGUUGGGUGUGAAAUCCCUGGGCUUAACCUGGGAACUGCAUUCAAAACUGUUAGUCUAGAGUAUGGUAGAGGAAGGCGGAAUUUCCGGUGUAGCGGUGAAAUGCGUAGAUAUCGGAAAGAACACCAGUGGCGAAGGCGGCCUUCUGGACCAAUACUGACGCUGAGGUGCGAAAGCGUGGGGAGCAAACAGG